This 208-nucleotide long non-coding RNA is filed under the name Carica papaya (papaya). RNAcentral describes it as "long non-coding RNA (CPAP_LNC003292)". Lineage: Eukaryota; Viridiplantae; Streptophyta; Magnoliopsida; Brassicales; Caricaceae. The record is from RNAcentral.
UGUAUAUCUGGAGAUGAAUCAUAUAGUGAAUGGUAAUGUAAAUUGAGGGUGGCAGCCUUAAAUGGAUUCUUCAUAAAGAGGUGAAGAUAUUUUAUUACAUUUUAUAUUUUUUUCCUGCCUCUUUACAUCUCUUUUUUAUUUUCCCUCUUUCACUCCAUUCCUAACCAAUUUAAAGUAUAAAAAUCUAUAAUUAUUUAAUAACAAUCAU